This 385-nucleotide ribosomal RNA is filed under the name uncultured Methanosaeta sp. RNAcentral describes it as "bacterial SSU rRNA". It matches the Rfam family "Archaeal small subunit ribosomal RNA", at positions 955 to 1338 of the family's 1478-position model. Lineage: Archaea; Methanobacteriati; Methanobacteriota; Methanomicrobia; Methanotrichales; Methanotrichaceae. The record is from RNAcentral.
CAGGCUGAAGACCUUACCCGAUUAGCUGAGAGGUGGUGCAUGGCCGUCGUCAGUUCGUACUGUGAAGCAUCCUGUUAAGUCAGGCAACGAGCGAGACCCACGUCCACAGUUGCCAGCAUACCCCUCCGGGGUGAUGGGUACACUGUGGAGACCGCCGCUGCUAAAGCGGAGGAAGGAGUGGGCAACGGUAGGUCAGUAUGCCCCGAAUCUCCCGGGCUACACGCGGGCUACAAUGGUCGGUACAAUGGGCAUCUACCCCGAAAGGGGAAGGAAAUCUCUUAAAGCCAAUCGUAGUUCGGAUUGAGGGCUGCAACUCGCCCUCAUGAAGCUGGAAUCCGUAGUAAUCGCGUUUCAACAGAACGCGGUGAAUACGUCCCUGCUCCUU